RNAcentral lists this ribosomal RNA (524 nucleotides) under Kluyveromyces dobzhanskii. Its description in RNAcentral is "eukaryotic LSU rRNA". It matches the Rfam family "Eukaryotic large subunit ribosomal RNA", at positions 88 to 653 of the family's 3401-position model. The record is from RNAcentral. Lineage: Eukaryota; Fungi; Ascomycota; Saccharomycetes; Saccharomycetales; Saccharomycetaceae.
GGCGAGAUGAGCGGCAAAAGCUCAAAUUUGAAAUCUGGCGUCUUCGACGUCCGAGUUGUAAUUUGAAGAAGGUUACUUUGUAGCUGGUCCUUGUUUAUGUUCCUUGGAACAGGACGUCAUAGAGGGUGAGAAUCCCGUGUGGCGAGGAUACCAGUUAUAUGUAAAGUACUUUCGACGAGUCGAGUUGUUUGGGAAUGCAGCUCUAAGUGGGUGGUAAAUUCCAUCUAAAGCUAAAUAUUGGCGAGAGACCGAUAGCGAACAAGUACAGUGAUGGAAAGAUGAAAAGAACUUUGAAAAGAGAGUGAAAAAGUACGUGAAAUUGUUGAAAGGGAAGGGCAUUUGAUCAGACAUGGCGUUUGCUUCGGCUUUCGCUGGGCCAGCAUCAGUUUUGGCGGCUGGAUAAAUCCUCGGGAAUGUGGCUCUACCGUGGUAGAGUGUUAUAGCCCGUGGGAAUACAGCCAGCUGGGACUGAGGAUUGCGACUUUUGUCAAGGAUGCUGGCGUAAUGGUUAAAUGCCGCCCGUC